Ziziphus jujuba (common jujube) is the source of this 2867-nucleotide long non-coding RNA. RefSeq lists it as uncharacterized. The record is from RefSeq and is a predicted model, not a curated record. Lineage: Eukaryota; Viridiplantae; Streptophyta; Magnoliopsida; Rosales; Rhamnaceae. The transcript has 3 exons.
AAUAUAAAACCAAGUAAAAUUCAUUUUUUUUUCUGGUAAAACACCAGCUUCACUUUGGUUCUUCAAAUCGUUGUUAGCAUUUCUUUCCUUAACAAAGCUUUCAAACUCCUCAACCUGCCAUUGAACCGUUCGAAAGCAGCCUUUAUAACAGGAUCUUCAUUCCAAAUAGCCUUUGACUGACUGUCAAGGUACUCUUCAUCUUGGAAAUGGUUCGACAGAAUAUCCAAAAUUGCCAUCACUCUUGUCGCUUGGUCGCACUGUAGAAGCACCCAUUCAGGAGCAAGAAAGAAAACAAACGGAGUAGGAUAACCAAGGCAAAAAAGCAAGCAAGAAAAAACUGAAAGAGAAAAAGUUAACUGCAACAACCAUGUCUUUUGAAGAUCGGUGCAAGGCUUGCAUAAAUCGUUAAUUUGGCAGGGACAAAGUGGAUGAGUUUACAUGGAGGAGGGCAUACCCUUUGGAGCAGCCGAAGGAGUACGAUGAUGUCAAAAGUGAGAUUGAGAAUAGGAAGGAUUUUCUACAAUGUCAAGCACACCUACACCGAUUGCCACCUGAGGAGGUGGAGAGGCUAAACCAAGAAAGUUUCUUCUAACCUAAUAAUAAUAAUGAUGACGAUGGUGAUAAUAAUUUUGAUAUUUAAUAUAUUGAUGUUAAGUGUUUUUUUUUUUUUUUUUUUUUUUUUUUAUAAAAAAAUAGGUAGAUCAUGUUAUUUUAAGGGGACUAUGAGUAUAGUUUGAUGAUGAUUAUGAGCAAUUGAAGUCUACUGCCCAUUUUAGGAAGCUUUUAUCAAUUGACCACAACCCUCCAAUUGAUGAAGUUAUCAAAGCAGGUGUAGUCCCUUAGUCUGUUAAAUUUCUUGGAAUGUAUAAUAUGCCCCAAAUGCAAGUAAUAGACUUACUCAUAAUUGCUUUAUUUGACCCUUUCUUUCUUUUUCUUCUUUUUGGUUCCUAUCCAAAUAAAUGAAUUUAAGGGAAAUAGUAAAUAUGCUUCAGUGACUACCAAAUAAGGGUAGAAUUAGUUUCAAAAUACCAAACUAGAAUGAUUUCAAUACAAUAGGGAAAAUGUUAUCUCAAAAAAAGAUUAAUGGAAAGUGAAGAGUAGAAAAAGCAUGAUGACUUGAACAUCUAGAUGGUACUAAUUUAGUUAUGAGAACAUUUAAAUUUCUCCUUUGUAUUGAUGGCUAACAUUUGAUGUAACUAUUAAAUUGCCCUAAAAAAGUUAUAAAUAAAUAUCUUGUCCUUCUUUUUAGUUUAAGGUUAUAAUUCCUGCAAGAUUUUUUACUUGGUGUUUAAUGUAUUCAGUGUUCAUUGAAGCUUACUGAUUAGUUGUUUCCCAGAUGAAGAAGAAAAAUCAGGACCUAUUAUACUCCAUUUAGACUCAUUAGGACUUCACUCUAGCAUAUCAGUUUUUCAAAACAUUAAGAGGUGAGAAGAGAAGAGAAGAGAAGAUCUUCUGAAAUUGUGGAGUAGGAAUAAUCUGGUCUGAUAUAUUAAUUGUACGUGUGCAACUUUUAGUAGUUAUCUAUUGCUAGAUUUGACUUUUAUGUAUAUUUAAUGCCUGUGUAAGAAGUAAAUAUCUGGUAAAUUUAUUUAAUAUUGAAUAUUUUGUUUGUAUUCAUAUCUAAAAGGUUUUGAAAGUGAGAGAAGCAUUGGACUAUAUCAUAACAGUGAAGCAAGCAAAUGACCUUUGAGACAUUGGUAAUUUUGGUAAUGUGUUUGUUGAUUAUGCUUACAAGAGUUACUUUGUCCCUGAAAUAAAUAGACUAAUGUUCACUUAUGAAUCCUGGUACAUGUGCCUAAUAAUUGUGUGAAUGAACAAUUUAAUAUAGAUAUGUUAUGUUCUACAUAUGGUCACCUUGAUAUGUUUAAAAUAUUGGUCUUGCUGGGCUUGGGAGUACUCAAAUUGAAAUGUUUCUUAUUUCCUUUAAUGUUUUUUGCAGCAUAUUGACACUAUUUUGUAUUUCAUAAGAAAAUGGCGGUUUGAGAAUGAGAAGGUGUUCACCCACAACUAUGCCAUAUUAGACACGUUAUUUUGGGUAAGAUGAUGGGAUGUUACUGUGCUGCUUAAUGUUAUAUUGAUAACAUUUUAUAUUGUAUCUAUGGUAAUCAAUUUGGCAGUCAUCCAUCGAAGGGUGUUAUCCCAAAAUGGGAGGCAUCUCGAAGCAUAUAUUUAUGUGAUUCCACAUUGCGAAGCUAUGUGCAUGGGAAGUCACCCAAACCUAGCAUGCCGUGUUGGAGAGGAGAUUGUGUAAAUCUAUACAUAUAUUUAAAAAAAUGCUCACUAAGUUUCCCAAUUUGUGGAUAAUGAGGUUACAUGCUAAUUUUUAGGUGUACAUCCCUAUCAACAAUGGAGGUGUCCAUUGGUUGGUAGCAUGUGUGGACUUGAAGGCUCGAUAUAUUAAUUUAUAUGAUCCAAAUAUCGAAAAUAAAUAUGUCCAUACUAGAGAGCUAGAAAAUGAGAAUUGCCUUAGGUUUAUGCUGCCUUACUUAUUGAGGGAUGGGGGAUAUUACGAGAAGAAUCCGGACGUGCCUCCCACUUUAGAUCCAUUCAUGAUGACCAUGAUCAAAGAUGCACCCCAACAAGAUAAUGGGUAUGAAUGUGUUAUCAUUUCCAACCACUUCUAUUGCUGUUGUUUAACUGUGCUUACGUGUGGAAAUGCACAUGGUUGGUUUUCAUUAAUGCUAUUCUGCAGGGGUGAUUGUGGCGUCUUCGCUUUGAAAUUUAUUGAGCAUAGAAGCAGUGAGGAGAACCUUUUAUUUGGCCUGGAAGACAUUAGUUGGUUUAGGAAAAAAUAUGCUAUUGAGUUGUACGUUAAUAAAUUUCAAUGUAGAUCAUGUUUAAUGUUAUGGCACCCUAUAUUAAUGUUA